Long non-coding RNA from Mytilus trossulus (common blue mussel), 940 nucleotides. RefSeq lists it as uncharacterized. The record is from RefSeq and is a predicted model, not a curated record. The transcript is spliced from 2 exons. NCBI's taxonomy places the organism in Eukaryota, Metazoa, Mollusca, Bivalvia, Mytilida, Mytilidae.
UAUUAUUUUAAAAUCGAUUGUCAAUUAUAGGUGUAAAGGUAGCAUCGACGGCUAUAAAUGAAUUGAUUUUCUGGAAAUGCAUUUCCUUCACUAUAAAUUAUUCAAAUGACGGCUUGUCAGCAAACUAAUGUUACUUCUCAAAAUAAAUAGUUAGGGUACCUGCUGGAUUACUCAGACUUGUUGAUCUAUCAAGAUUGUUAUUGAGCGGAAUUGGUCGAAGACUAUUCUACGAAGCAAUAUGGAGUUUGGUUUUGCAAACAUGAAUAAAGAUUUAAUUCCGUUAUUUAUCACAUGCCUCCACCAUAAAGAUGUCGAAAACAAAGAUGAUCUGUUGGAGGAAUUGUUGGGAUUUGGCAUUACAAAUGAUAUAUUGGUUUCUGUCAAGUUUACUUUUGAGCUGAAAGAUAUGACGUAUCUUCGUAACCUUAUUAUAAAUUGGAAUCCGUCUCAGACCAUUCUUUACGUUGGUGGGACACUUCGCAAUGAUCCUGCAAAGCGAAAAGAAGAGCAUGAAAAAAAGUUUCGUCUAAUGACAUCAUUCUAUUGCUGCCGUGUACAAGAUGUCAAAACAGUAGAAACUGAGCUACUUCAACUAGGCAGAAAUAUACUUAGGGAAAAUGUCCACAAGAAAAGCAACUGUAGUGCGGAACCUGGAUUCGUGUAUGUUUUAGACACUGGACUAAUAUCUUAGUAGCUUGGUUGAAAAAUAUCUCGAAUCUUUUUUACAGUACCCAUCAAUAGUAAAUCAUGUUAUGUUUGAAUAGAUUUUUACUUAUCAACAUAUUAAUUAAGACUCAUAAUAAAGGGAACUCUGCAGCCGAUGUCAUCAGUCUAUAAUUGUAAUAACCCUUGAAAAAUGGGUAUGUUGAAUGAUGAUUGUAAAAUAUAUUUAUGUAUAUGUAAGAUGGUAUAUCAAAUCGAUUAAAGACACCGUACAAUA